AGCAGCCGCGGUAAUUCCAGCUCCAAUAGCGUAUAUUAAAGUUGUUGCAGUUAAAAAGCUCGUAGUUGAAUUUCGGGAUCAGUUGAUCGGUCGUGCCUCGGUACGUACUGGUCAAAUUGAUUCCUACCUUCUGACGAACCACGAUGUCAUUAAUUUGGUGUCGUGGGAAAUCAGGACUGUUACUUUGAAAAAAUUAGAGUGUUUAAAGCAGGCUCGCGCUUGAAUACAUUAGCAUGGAAUAAUGAAAUAGGACGUUUGAUUCUAUUUUGUUGGUUUCUAGGAUCGACGUAAUGAUUAAUAGGGAUAGUUGGGGGCAUUAGUAUUCAAUUGUCAGAGGUGAAAUUCUUGGAUUUAUUGAAGACUAACUACUGCGAAAGCAUUUGCCAAGGAUGUUUUCAUUAAUCAAGAACGAAAGUUAGGGGAUCGAAGACGAUCAGAUACCGUCGUAGUCUUAACCAUAAACUAUGCCGACUAGGGAUUGGAUGAUGUUAAUUUUUAAUGUACUCAUUCGGCGCCUUAA
Molecule: unclassified non-coding RNA, 520 nt
Filed under: uncultured Glomus
Lineage: Eukaryota; Fungi; Glomeromycota; Glomeromycetes; Glomerales; Glomeraceae
Description: SSU rRNA
Rfam family: Eukaryotic small subunit ribosomal RNA
Source: RNAcentral